GGGGCCGACCUGGUUUCGACGGGGGUAGUGAAGCGGCUCAGGGCGUGUCGAGGGUCCGUUACCUCGUUAAUCCACCGGAAAACCAAUAAACGCCAACGACGAGCGUUUCGCACUGGCCGCUUAAGGCCUAGCCGCUGCACCGGGUUGUCGGUAGCCCGGGCCCCGCAAGGGGCAGCAGUGUCAUUCUUACCGAAUCGUCCCUGGCCGGGCCACCUGGUCAGGGCCUAAAACUCAGGUGGCUGGUUGCUGGUUGAGCCUGUGCGUCGGCGUAACGGCAACGAGAUCUCAAUGACGUCACUACACACGUAGAACUGGUCGCAGAAGACUUUCGGACGCGGGUUCGAUUCCCGCCGGCUCCACCA
This 362-nucleotide transfer-messenger RNA is filed under the name Lautropia mirabilis. Its description in RNAcentral is "Standard tmRNA". It matches the Rfam family "transfer-messenger RNA". Rfam says of the family: Bacterial tmRNA, also known as 10Sa RNA or SsrA, is named for its dual tRNA and mRNA-like properties. Lineage: Bacteria; Pseudomonadati; Pseudomonadota; Betaproteobacteria; Burkholderiales; Burkholderiaceae. RNAcentral also lists the same sequence under 1 other name. The record is from RNAcentral.